ACUAAUUUAACUCUAAUCGAGAGUAAACAGUCAUUGUGGAGUGAGAAGGAAGAGGAUGAUGAGAUCAGAGAUGGGAAGAAGGAAGGUGGUCUUCUGUCUUGUUAUAAAAAAAGGAUGAAAUACAUGGUACUUCGGAAAGCUCAAAAAACUCUCAAAACUCAUCCUGGCUGACAAUGUAGAUUAGACGCAUCAGAUGAAAUGAAUUGAAAAACUCUCCUGGGAAUGAAAGUGAUAACUGAAUGAUUAUUGUAAAGCAAAUCCCGGAAUGAACUUAUGAGACCCACCAUCAGCCUGUCAAAUAAUGUGCGAAAGAAGAAAUCUGUGUCUCUCCAGGGACAAAUUGUUGCUUUCAAACCAACAGUAAAGUGUCCAUUCUAUGAAUGAUACAUUGAUAUAUACACAUUAUAGAAGGAUGGAUACAGAGUUUCUUCAGGUCCAUGAAUGAGGUAUUCAGCAGUUGACCUGGAUCAGAAAUGAAGGUAAUUUUUGCCAACUCUUCAGACUUGAGCUCCUUCACUAGGAUCCCCAUGAUUGAAGAAAAGAACAAACUCAGACAACUUGUCUCAGAUUUUUAUAUAGUUAAGAUUUCCUGGUCUUGGUCCUAGGAAGGAAGGAUAUCUUGCUUUCCAAUUCUUGUUUAUCCUAUAAUCCUCUCUGCUGCAUUCAUGCAAAUAGAUUACUGUGCAUUUCUUUAAUAGGUUACAAUUGCUAUUUUAAUUAUGUUGCCAAGAACUAUAGAAAAAAAGAAGGACUGUAUCAAAGCAUCAUAUGAAAAUCCGACUAAGGUAAUGUGGCCAUUGGAAAUUUGUAACUGACCUGAAACUCUUACUAGAGACAAACUGUUGUAGAAGGUCUUCUAUAGAUACCUGGUGUAGUAGUUGUUGUUCCCCAACAGAUACUAAAGGAUGAAUAUCUCUCUACAGAGGAAUCAGACUAGUCACAAUGAUCACAGACUAUGGACCACAUAAUUUAACAAUGGCUGACUAUUUGUAUAGUCCUAGAAUGUUUCAUUAGUUUAUUAGUCCAAUAGGCUAGAUGUCUCAUCUGGUCAUUGGUAUAUGGAUAAAUCUUCAGUAUGUAGGUUCUAAUGUCUGUGAGGGUUUGGUAGCAAUGUGACUGCAAGCAGGAAAGGUAAAAGCUUCUUUCUUCCAUGUUUUCUAUGGGGAUUCAAAUAGAAUGCAUGGUUAAGAAUACAUAGGGAUUGCCAUUUUCAAACAGACCAGUAUCUUCAACUAAACAUUCUUUUCUGGGAAGAUGCACUUUGUCAGCUUGGCUCAUGUGUAUGUGAACUGCAAGAUCUUGUGUGGGAAGGCAGUCCUGUUCAUCAAUCCCAAUUGCCCCUCUUACAGAAAUAUCCAAGACUUCCUCAAUCAACUCCUUUGCAAUCAUGGUCUUCUGAGAUUUGAAGACAUUACAUCUACUAACAACACCAAUGCAAUUCAAGAUUACUUUCAACAGCUCCCUGGAGUGAGAAUUGUUCCUUGGGUCCUUAUAUGUAGAGAAAGACUGCAUAGGCAGACACAGUGAUCUAAUCUACCUGCAACAGAAUGAAGAGAUGAUGAUGUGGCUGAAGCAGAUUGGAGCUCUGCAUUUAUUAAAGGGAUGGCAGUAAAAGCCCAUGCUGACAGCAGACAUUCAGACAUGCUGAAGCCAUGCUGAGACUUGAUGUUUGUCACAGAUGAUGUCAGUAUUUUCUUAUGACUGGGAUUUUCAACAAAUUGGCUUUCAUUCUAUUCCUCAUUCCAAAAAAUCUUUUGCUGUAGGCCUCAAACCAUGGGGCAGGGAAACUUAAGAGACAACAGAGGAUUGAUAAUCCAGUCUUCAUUCACUGACUUGUCUCUACCUCUAAGUCCAUGUUUCACAAUCCAGUGCAUUUAUUUAAAUCUCCAGGGAAUCAGUUACUGUUUCUCUACCAUGCUGGUCUGCUGAAGUCAUUUUACAGAAGUCCACUUCCAAGUAAUUAUUAAAGCAAUGAAUAUUUUGAAGUUGUUUAUGAUCUACACACAGGCUUUUUACGCCCCAAGCAUGUACCAUCCCACUUCUGCGUUUGUAGCUCUCAGCCAGUGUUCUCGACCUAUCCAUCCAGCAACCCUUAGAUUCCACACUUUGUAUGAGGAUAAUAUUUGAAAAAACAGAAGAAUAGCUGUAGCAUAAUUGUUCUUCACUGAAGGCAUAUUAACACAGACGGCAGAGCAUAUGAUGCAUUCAUCUCUGUUUGUAGUGUUUAAUUCCCCGUAAAGUCCCAAACAAUUGAGAGUUGAUUCUGUCAGAGUACCAGCAAAGUCAAAUAGGAAAUGCAAAAUUUCAGAAUUCUCCUUCCAAAGAUGUUUGUGAAUGAAGUUGUUUGCAAAACACUGUCUUAAUAAAUUUAUUCCAUUCUCACUUUGAUAAUUUGCUUUGAUGUCUUGAAGUGACGUUUAAUUAUCACUGAAAUGCAGGUCCCCUCUAUAGUCUCCAGUAAGAAGAAUUCAUUCCUCAAAAGGAUGUAUCUGCAGAUGCCUGAAAAAAUAAUAGAAAGAAUAUUUCUUGAUAAAGAUCUAGGUUAAAGUUGAAACAUCUUACCACAAAGAUACAUAUAAGAAGUUCAUUUGACAUUGACCUUAUAUUAUGCAGAAAUUCUUCACAUAUUCCCUCUAUCGUUGGGGUUUAAUUAAUCUCCAAUGAAUAGUUGACAAUGAAGAGUAGCCUUUAGAAUCAUUUUACCCUUUUCAGUAAUAGUUUUAAGCAAAUGGAACACUAAAAGAUCACAAAGAAGAAAUGGUUAUAAUCAAAAGAUACAUGUGGGACAGUCUAACUCUCAUGGUCAAGAUGACUUUGCACAUGCUCCUUAUGGUCAUGGAUUGCUCUCAUAAUACUCUGCAGAAGGUUGUUCCUACUGCCUCACUUUAAGCUCCAGGAAUUCCAAGCUACCAGAGCUGUUCAAGUUCCCUUACAAUGCACUUGAAAGCCACAUAUGCUUAGGAACUUUUGAUGUGCUUUAGCUCUAUUGUCAGGUUUUUUUAAGCCUCUACCAAAUAGCAAGCUGUCCUUUUUACCCUCUUCUCAACACCUCUAAAUCUGCCCUAACUCAAUUUCUCAAUUGACAUUAGUCAUAGCUCAGCACCCCAAAUAUGCACUUAUCUUACUGUGUUUUUAACAUCCUACCUGCUACACCAAUGGCCACUCCAUACUAGAUCUCACAUGACUGGUAACUCUUGCUCCACCCUAAAUCUUUUCUCCACCCUUGUGUCUACUAGCCUGUUGGUAGAAAUCCACACAACUGAUUGGCCAAGAGCAUCUUUAUUGAACUAUACAGAAUCAAUUUGGGAACAGGACCUUCAGUGUUCGCAGGAUGAUUCCCGAUCUAAGAAUCAAAACGAUAGCAAACAAGACUCAAUCCAUGUCUCUGGUUUUGGGACGGAGAUAGAGCACUUAGAUUCAGAGUUGAAAUUUAAAUAAUUAUAAUAUAUAUGUAGUAUUAAUUAUGCCAGGAUAAAAGGAUCCAAAAAGUGGAAAUGGGCAACAUUAAAGGCAAGAGAAAAAUCCCUAGUACAGCAAACAAUGUGGACCUGUUAGAAAGACUGGUCUCUUUCCAGCCAUCUGAAUUUGUACUUGAAAUUCUUCUAACCACUCUUGAUCUCUGCAUGUAGAAAAGAACAAAAAGAAAAAGAAAACAAAAUAAAACAAAAAAUCAUUAAAAUGAAACCAAAAGCAAAAGAAAUAGCUAAUCAACCCAAUCCUAAAAGAAGAGGACCGAGUGAAGAUUGCUUGAGGUCCUCAUUUUUAACUACAACUACAAGUCACCAAUAGCUUUCAAUGCAAAAGUUUGUCAUUAUUUUAUUUGAAACUUCUCUGUGGGUCAAAGAAACAAGGUUUAUAAGCUGCAACAACAGGAAAGAGAAAAAAAUCAUACUGUAGAGCUCAACACUGAUAUUACUAUGGUGACUGUGGGCAAUGCAGAGAAUAUUGGUGUUUGACAAUGGGUCUUGUGGUUUUCUAUAUGCUGGCAAUAUCUAUGACUCUGAAAUGAAUUAGAGUCAUCACCAAAUCAUCACUAAAUGAACUGCUCCUUUCUUUGGAGCACAAGAUCUGGCAAACUGUUGACUGACUAUGAUUUUUAACUUGGAUCUAGCCUCUGUGGUAAAGCUAAGGCUUCUGAUGGAAAAUCCUCCACCAAAAUACUGGACUAUCAAUUGUGCUGCCAGCCAAAAACCAAGUCCUGACUCUACCCUGCAAUCCAGAAGAGGUUUCAAAGUGUCAAACAUAACAAUAUUUUAAUUGUGGCUUUGUCUUUUUUUCACUUUUUAUUUUAAAUAAAGUGUGAUUUCUGGCAUAAUUCCUUCUAAGUUCUUCCUCACAUAGAACUUCACUUUUGACCUCAAAUUCCAUUCAUGAAGGGGUACUCUUAUCUUUCGUUGGCUAAGUUUUCUAUUUUGCUUUUAUGGCUUGCUGUGAUUGCUUAUUGUGACUGUCUAAAUGAUGCAUUAUUGAGCAACUGACUCCAUAAGAAUGGCUUGCGGGCAUCAGUAUUUUGCAUUUUCUUGAUGGUUAGUUUAUGUAAGGUGACUUAGCCCACUGUGGAUGGUAACAGCACUAGUAAGCUGAGGAGGUUACAGAGAAAAGGUAGCUGAGCAGAUUAGUAAGCAGAGUUCCUCUUUAUUUUCAUGCUGCUGCCUUGUGUUCUUUUCUUGGAUUCCAUUGAUUAUGAACUGGAACUUGUAAGGUGAAUUAAACCUUCAAUUUCCCACACUGGCAUUUUUAUGUUUACUAUAACAUAGUCGUACUAACUGGAACAUUUGGCAUUUUCUUGAGAUCUGAUCCGAUAGUCCAUCCUCCUGCUGGCAUGUAACUUACCCUUUUAAAUUAAUAAAUAAAUCCAAGUCACUCCAAACUUUUGACAUAUUCACUCUGCCAACAAAAUCACACUGUGUAUGUAACUUACUUUUAAUCUCAUAUUUUUCCUCCCACAUUUUUUCUCUUUAAAAUU
Non-coding RNA from Rattus norvegicus (Norway rat), 4966 nucleotides. Lineage: Eukaryota; Metazoa; Chordata; Mammalia; Rodentia; Muridae. The record is from RefSeq and is a predicted model, not a curated record.